UAUAAUUUAAAGUAGGGCCUGCCCACUGAGUAUUUGAAGGGCCGCAGUAUUUUGACUGUGCAAAGGUAGCAUAAUCAUUAGUUUUUUAAUUGAAAGCUUGUAUGAAUGGUUUGAUGAGAAAAUAACUUUCUAUAUCUAAAUUUUUAAGAACUUUAUUUUUAAGUUAAAAAGCUUAAAUUUUUUUAAAAGACGAGAAGACCCUAUAGAGUUUCAUUAAUUUUUAAAUUUAAAUUUAUAGAAUUAAAUAAUUUUAAUUUAAAUAUUAAUUUGAUUGGGGUGAUUGAAAAAUUUAAUGAACUUUUUCUAUGUAUAAACAUAAAUUUAUG
RNAcentral lists this ribosomal RNA (326 nucleotides) under Halyzia sedecimguttata (orange ladybird). RNAcentral's name for it is "partial 16S ribosomal RNA". Lineage: Eukaryota; Metazoa; Arthropoda; Insecta; Coleoptera; Coccinellidae. The record is from RNAcentral.